AGGCCUGUCGUUCAAUGGUAGGACAGCGGUCUCCAAAACCGCCAAUGAGGGUUCGAUUCCUUCCAGGCCUGCUA
Molecule: transfer RNA, 74 nt
Filed under: Candidatus Gottesmanbacteria bacterium RIFCSPHIGHO2_01_FULL_40_15
Lineage: Bacteria; Candidatus Gottesmaniibacteriota
Also listed under: 4 other names
Description: tRNA-Trp
Rfam family: tRNA
About the family: Transfer RNA (tRNA) molecules are approximately 80 nucleotides in length.
Source: RNAcentral